Dreissena polymorpha is the source of this 251-nucleotide long non-coding RNA. RefSeq lists it as uncharacterized. The transcript has 2 exons. Lineage: Eukaryota; Metazoa; Mollusca; Bivalvia; Myida; Dreissenidae. The record is from RefSeq and is a predicted model, not a curated record.
GGCGGGCGGCGGGCGGAAGGCAUUACUUUGUCCGGACUCUAAUUCAAAUUGUAUUCAUCCGAUCUUCACCAAACUUGGUCAGCAGUUGCAUCUAGUUGAUAUCUAGGCCAAGUUCGAAUAUGGGUCAUGCCGGGUCAAAAACUAGGUCAUAGGGUCAAUUAGUGCAUUUUCAACGGCGCCACUUUGUCCGGACUCUAAUUCAAAUUGUAUUCAUCCGAUCUUCACCAAACUUGGUCAGUAGUUGCAUCUAG